Macaca fascicularis (crab-eating macaque) is the source of this 277-nucleotide unclassified non-coding RNA. It matches the Rfam family "Metazoan signal recognition particle RNA". Rfam says of the family: The signal recognition particle (SRP) is a universally conserved ribonucleoprotein. It is involved in the co-translational targeting of proteins to membranes. NCBI's taxonomy places the organism in Eukaryota, Metazoa, Chordata, Mammalia, Primates, Cercopithecidae. The record is from Ensembl.
GCCGGGCAGAGUGGCAUGUGGCUGUAGUCCCAGCUACUCGGAGGCAUAGGCAGGAGGAUCACUUGAGUCCAGGAGUUUUGUGCUGUAGUGCACUAUGCCAAGCAGGUGUUCACACCAAGUUCACUAUCAAUAUGAUGACCUUUCAGGGGCAGGGAGAGGUGAAAGAGCCCAGGUUGGAGAAAAAGCAGGCCAAAACUCCUGUGAUGAUCAUUAGUGGGAUAACACCUGUGAAUAACCACUGCACUCCAGCCUAGGUAACAGAGACCCCAUAUCUGGG